GGCUCAUAAUAUCUCUUCAAAGUUGGCAUUUCAGGUCUAAACCUAGGAACUGCAGUUCCAGGUCGAUGAACAACUCGCUGAUGGAGCUGUUGUUGCACCUGCAAGUCCAUGAGACCAAUCGGACUUGCUCUUGAACCAGAACCAGAGACAUGAUCCUUCCCAAUUUCACCACUCACUGCCAUCUCAUCCCCUUGUCCACCAGAAGAAAUCAUUGCUGCAGGUGAAACUUCUUCCUUCUUCUGCCGCUUCACUGGCGUAGCUUUCCUGUCCUUGAGCCUCCUAUGGCAGAACCACAUCUGCAGUUGCCUAUCA
Molecule: unclassified non-coding RNA, 312 nt
Filed under: Hevea brasiliensis (rubber tree)
Lineage: Eukaryota; Viridiplantae; Streptophyta; Magnoliopsida; Malpighiales; Euphorbiaceae
Source: RNAcentral